AGCCUUUAGCAAUAGAUCUCCUGGCUCCCGCAUCGAUGACGAACGCAGCGAAAUGCGAUAU
This 61-nucleotide ribosomal RNA is filed under the name Rozella allomycis CSF55. RNAcentral's name for it is "5.8S ribosomal RNA". It matches the Rfam family "5.8S ribosomal RNA", at positions 1 to 61 of the family's 154-position model. From Rfam's summary of the family: 5.8S ribosomal RNA (5.8S rRNA) is a component of the large subunit of the eukaryotic ribosome. The record is from Rfam by way of RNAcentral. Lineage: Eukaryota; Fungi; Rozellomycota.